GUAACACAAAACACAAUUAUAAGAAGCGUACAACAGCAUGAACCUACGUGCAGAGCAGUAUAUGAGCAGCAUAUGUAGCACUAUAUCAGCCGUAUAAAAGUCUAUAAGUGUCUUGUAAGCGCAAUUUGGGCCCCAAAUAAUACGGCUUUGAGCAUUAUUAAAUAUUAUUAGUGCUGCUAACCAGCGCUUAUAAUGUUAUUGAAGACAGACAUUAGUAAAGUUGUUAGACAGCAUAUUCUAAUGUAAAAAGCAUUUUAUUAGAUGUUAGUACAGCUUUGAAACAGCUUUCAGAAUUACAAUGCCAAAGUUACGUUUUAUUCUAAGGCUGAACGUUUUAUUUUGUUUGUUUGAAAGUAUUCGAAAAAACUUAUCGCAUUUUAUUGUCCGAUUUGAUUAUUUUUCGUUUAGAGUAUUGCAGUGCAAUGGUGUUGUGAGGAGAAGUUUUAAUGUCUUUAUUUAAAAUAAUUUAUCAUAAGGUAAGUAUCUUUUUUUUUGUUUCAAGAAUGAAAAUGAGCUGGGAGUAUUAGUCUUAUGUGAAAAUAUAUAUAUGUUUGUGGUUUAUAAUUCACGCGCCCUCACAGAAAUCCUUUUUUUAAUAAAAUAGGGACAAAUUUAGAAUCGACAUAUGACACUUUUUGUGAUUUUUUUAACGAUUUGAUUAAUUUUAACUUAUAAAAUUGCUUCUAUCGAUACUCCGCUUGUAAGAAAAGGAUAAUAAGUAGUAUUUCAUGCAUAUGUGUAUUAUAAUUUUAUUUUCUAUGUUAGAGAAAACAGAAAGCAAAUGGCGUCAGAUAAUAUUAAUGUUUUAAACUUUCAACUAGUGUCUUUUAAUGUUGUCAGUCUUAUUAUAGUAAAAAGAAAAUGGUUAAGUCAUUCAACCUACAUAUAAAAUAUCUAAGUGAUAUCUUUAGCAUUACUGUAACACUUUUUAGGUAUGUUAUAAUGUUCAUUAGGUUUAAACGUCAUAAAAAUGGAUUACUAUAGUGUUAAUCAGGGUACCGAAACAAUAAUUUAGAAUCCUUUAAUCACGUCAUGAUCCCCUACUCCACGUCUUUCAAUUUUAUCUGUCUCCAAUUAGGUAGGUACCUAGUUUGACAAGUGUUAAGUAUAAAAUCAUUAUCACUACAAAUGUAAUUUGUAAUGAAACACGAUAUAGCUACCUAUCUUAUUUUUCGCUCAUUGUAAUAGUAAUAAUUUAAAGGAACUUUUUGUAACUAGUAAGUAGUGUUGCUGUAGUCGUUUUUUUAAGGGUAUGCGUUAUACGGAUGCCUUUUAAAAUAGUGCAAACGACCGAAAGGGAUGAAGGAAUGUUCUACGGAACUUCUUGACUCACACAACAACCGAUUGUACUGUAUUUUGUGUAUGAGGUGUAUCAUUUUUUGGAACACGUUUUGCAUUUCUUAAACCAAAUAUAAAGUUUGAAUAUUC
Molecule: long non-coding RNA, 1428 nt
Organism: Ostrinia nubilalis (European corn borer)
Lineage: Eukaryota; Metazoa; Arthropoda; Insecta; Lepidoptera; Crambidae
Exons: 2
Source: RefSeq, a predicted model, not a curated record